UUCUUUUAGCAGCAUUGUCUUCUUGUCUGUCAUGUCAUGUACAUUUUAUGAUCUCCUGAUAUUCUCUUCUGCAACUUGGUUCUGUACCCUGCCUCCUACUGCAGCCAAAGGGAAGAAAUGAAUCUAUAUCCUUGUAUCACUUACGCUGACUUGGUUUUCAUUUUCAUGGGCUCAAUUGACAUGCCAUCUCACAUACUGUUGUUUUAUGUGAUCCAAGUUCUUUUUCAAGGCAGCAUAAUAUGCAAUAUAUGAUGUUGAUGAUAUUGUAAGAUUUAUGUAUAUUUAGGUCAUAGGACCUUGAUCAUUCAAGGAACUUGUUUAGAAGCCCUUUCAUCCUCAUUCUUAAGCCUCUAAAUAGUCAUUGAUUGUGCUCUUGUUCUUCCUACGAAGUUGCUUGUUUAUCUUCAUUAAUAUCUGCCACUGAUUUCAGAAGCUAAAAAUUUGUCAUUGAGAGUGAGUCAAUUCCUUUGGAUAGGAGGAAUUUCUUAUUUCUUCUGUAAUACAGAUUACAGUUUGACCUCAAUAAUAUUUAAGCCUGCGUUGAUUUAGUGAGGAUUGCUUGUGUUCAUGGAGAUUCCAAGUAAUAAGUUUGGACCAUGACGCAUGAUAUAGUUUAUUUUUGAGUUGCAUAUCAUCUCAAAAUUUGAUCAGAGCAGGGUAAAAUCAUGGUUAAACAGUAUAAUCAUCCUAGGUCAUGCAACCCCUGUUUGUGGGAGGAAAUGCCACUGUAGUGUCAUGUUGUAUGAAGGAAUUUUUUUUUUUUUUGUUUUAAUGCCUAUACUAUCAUGUCUUAUUAAAGGUGUUUGCAGCAUAAUGCAGUUCUGUAGUUCUCUCUGUGAGUCAAGUAUCUGUGUUCCCUAUUUCAUUUUGCCAUAUGCAUUUUAUGUGCUGUUUAAUUACUGAAAUUCAAUUAUUUAUGAUGCGUUUAUGGCAUUUGAAGUGAUGACUCUGAAAUCACUUACUUUGGGGGGUUAUUUAGGAAAAUUAAAAAAGGGUUGUUUUCCUGAAUUUCCUUAUUUUCUUAUCAUGCAUGCAUUAGUGAUUGAAUUUGAGACUGCUAUUUGGCUAGGUGCAUACCUUCUAUUUGUUAGAAAUAAUUUUGUUUAAACAUUUAGCUGUUACAGGUAUAUGUAAUGAAUGUUGGGGUUGUGGCUUUAAUACUAGUUGGGGAUGUACUCCUAUUUAGUGUUGUACAACAUUUAACAUUUUCUGAAUUUGUUGACCAGACGCCAAAAGUAUAUCCAUAUGACAACUUGCGGGUGGAGCUUGGUGGAGAACCUUAGGUUAAUCGUCUGCGUGCAAGGCAUUGUACGGUUACUGGUGUUUCACAUAUGUUUCGCAUUUGUUCAUCUGUGUGCUUGUGGAAUUUCAAACAGUUGAUAAAAAUAAUGGUUGUAGCUGACGUUAACCUCAUGAAACAAAUUGCUUGAGACGGUUUUGUUUAAAUCCGAUUCCCGAAACAAAUAUGGUGAUUCUUUUUCACUGUUAAAUGCUUCUGCUAGUGUGGGAGAAUGAAUUAGUUGUGUUAUUAGGUAAAAGUUGCCUCCAAACACUAGAAAAAACCGUACCAUUUAAAAAUGGCACAUCCCAUUCCCAUAAACAUGGGUUUGUGGAUGUUCCUGACUCUCUAAUCUCGACUUCUGAAAUUAUGUUGUUCCUCAGCUAGAGCUGAAAACUUUAUUUUCAUUCAAUUUAAUAUUUAUGAGGGACUAUGUGAUCCGAGUGAAGUUGUACAAUAACCUUCCAUGCAAGUUAUGACCUUACUUGCGUGCUGAUAGCAAUUAUCUGAAUUAUAUUGACCUGUUGAUUGUGCUUCAAUAAAGCUUAAAAAAAAGUUAAUCAA
This 1843-nucleotide unclassified non-coding RNA is filed under the name Hevea brasiliensis (rubber tree). The record is from RNAcentral. Lineage: Eukaryota; Viridiplantae; Streptophyta; Magnoliopsida; Malpighiales; Euphorbiaceae.